GUCGAACGGUAACAGGAAGAAAGCUUGCUUUCUUUGCUGACGAGUGGCGGACGGGUGAGUAAUGCUUGGGAAUCUGGCUUAUGGAGGGGGAUAACUACUGGAAACGGUAGCUAAUACCGCGUAAUGUCUACGGACUAAAAGGGGCGAAAGCUCUUGCCAUAAGAUGAGCCCAAGUGGGAUUAGGUAGUUGGUGAGGUAACGGCUCACCAAGCCGUCGAUCUCUAGCUGGUCUGAGAGGAUGACCAGCCACACUGGAACUGAGACACGGUCCAGACUCCUACGGGAGGCAGCAGUGGGGAAUAUUGCACAAUGGGGGAAACCCUGAUGCAGCCAUGCCGCGUGAAUGAAGAAGGCCUUCGGGUUGUAAAGUUCUUUCGGUGAUGAGGAAGGUGUAAUGGUUAAUACCCAUUACAAUUGACGUUAGUCACAGAAGAAGCACCGGCUAACUCCGUGCCAGCAGCCGCGGUAAUACGGAGGGUGCAAGCGUUAAUCGGAAUAACUGGGCGUAAAGGGCACGCAGGCGGUUGUUUAAGUGAGGUGUGAAAGCCCCGGGCUCAACCUGGGAAUUGCAUUUCAGACUGGACAACUAGAGUACUUUAGGGAGGGGUAGAAUUCCACGUGUAGCGGUGAAAUGCGUAGAGA
This 642-nucleotide ribosomal RNA is filed under the name Muribacter muris. Its description in RNAcentral is "bacterial SSU rRNA". It matches the Rfam family "Bacterial small subunit ribosomal RNA", at positions 61 to 696 of the family's 1533-position model. The record is from RNAcentral. Lineage: Bacteria; Pseudomonadati; Pseudomonadota; Gammaproteobacteria; Pasteurellales; Pasteurellaceae.